CGUGCUCGUGUGCAUCGAACUGUCGAAAKCCGAUCUCAUCAAUCGAAGCCCAUGCACACUCUUUCGUGCUAUGGGUAAUGGUUGCGUUCCUGUGUUGCAUACCCACGAAAGUGGAAAUCAAUUACGUUGCGGGGUUAUAUUCGCCUAUGCCCGUCAAGGGCAUGCGGUGAACAUGGAAGCACCUCUUGUGUUCCGAACAUGUUCGUGCAACUGUUUUGGCACAUUUGUAGGUUGCUCGUGGUCUCGGAUGCGGAAAUUGUUUUGUAGCUGAGGGAUCGGAUCUCUCAAUUGCUCGAAACGUUCAUUAUCUACGAACGACAUGCGGUGCUUGUUUCCAGUCCUCCUCAUGCUACGAUGUUGGUACGUCGGGGAUUGGAGUGAGCUCUGCGUUCGUGAAGGAAUGC
RNAcentral lists this unclassified non-coding RNA (404 nucleotides) under Tragia amblyodonta. RNAcentral describes it as "partial external transcribed spacer". The record is from RNAcentral. Lineage: Eukaryota; Viridiplantae; Streptophyta; Magnoliopsida; Malpighiales; Euphorbiaceae.